UACGUAGGGUGCGAGCGUUGUCCGAAAUUAUUGGGCGUAAAGAGCUCGUAGGCGGUCUGUCGCGUCGGUCGUGAAAACUUGGGGCUUAACCCUGAGCUUGCGGUCGAUACGGGCAUCACUGGAGUUCGGCAGGGGAGACUGGAAUUCCUGGUGUAGCGGUGAAAUGCGCAGAUAUCAGGAGGAACACCGGUGGCGAAGGCGGGUCUCUGGGCCGAUACUGACGCUGAGGAGCGAAAGCGUGGGGAGCAAACAGG
Molecule: ribosomal RNA, 254 nt
Filed under: uncultured bacterium
Lineage: Bacteria
Description: partial 16S ribosomal RNA
Rfam family: Bacterial small subunit ribosomal RNA
Source: RNAcentral